This 1242-nucleotide ribosomal RNA is filed under the name metagenome. RNAcentral's name for it is "bacterial LSU rRNA". It matches the Rfam family "Bacterial large subunit ribosomal RNA", at positions 1564 to 2815 of the family's 2925-position model. The record is from RNAcentral.
UGAAUACGAGAUGCUACGGCAUUGAAGCAGUGUAUGUCAGACUUCCAAGAAAAGCUCGCAAUGUCAUAAACAAUAAAUGCCUGUACCAUAACCGACACAGGUGGGUAGGUAGAGUAUACUAAGGGGCGCGAGAUAACUCUCUCUAAGGAACUCGGCAAAAUGACUCCGUAACUUCGGGAGAAGGAGUGCCUUAUUUUAUAAGGUUGCAAUAACAAGAUCCAAGCAACUGUUUACCAAAAACACAGGUCUCCGCUAAGUCGAAAGACGAUGUAUGGGGGCUGACGCCUGCCCAGUGCCAGAAGGUUAAAGAAGUUGGUUAGCUUCGGCGAAGCUGAUGACUGAAGCCCUGGUGAACGGCGGCCGUAACAAUAACGGUCCUAAGGUAGCGAAAUUCCUUGUCGGGUAAGUUCCGACCCGCACGAAAGGCGUAAUGAUUUGGAUACUGUCUCGGAGAGGGGCUCGGUGAAAUAGACUUGUCUGUGAAGAUGCGGACUACCUGCACCUGGACAGAAAGACCCUAUGAAGCUUUACCGUAACUUGAGAUUGAAAUUGGACUUUAUUUGCGCAGUAUAGGUGGGAGACGUUGAGAAUAUUCUUGCGGGAAUAUUGGAGUCAUCAGUGAGAUACCACUCUUGUAAUGUUAGAUUUCUAACUUUGUAUCAUUAUCUGGUCAAAGGACAGUUUCAGGCGGGCAGUUUGACUGGGGCGGUCGCCUCCUAAACGGUAACGGAGGCGCACAAAGGUUUCCUCUGAACGUGUAGAAAUCGUAUCUAGAGUGUAAAGGCAUAAGGAAGCUUGACUGUGAGACCUACAAGUCGAGCAGGGACGAAAGUCGGUCUUAGUGAUCUGACGGUGCUGAGUGGAAAGGCCGUCACUCAACGGAUAAAAGUUACUCUAAGAUAACAGGCUGAUCUCCCCCAAGAGUUCACAUCGACGGGGAGGUUUGGCACCUCGAUGUCGGCUCAUCGCAUCCUGGGGCGGUAGUACGUCCCAAGGGUUGGGCUGUUCGCCCAUGAAAGCGGUACGCGAGCUGGGCUCAGAACGUCGUGAGACAGUUCGGUCCAUAUCCGGUGUAGGCGUUAGAAUAUUGAGAGGAGCCUUCUUUAGUACGAGAGGACCGAGAAGGACAUACCUCUGGUGUACCAGUUAUCGUGCCAACGGUAAACGCUGGGUAGCUAUGUAUGGAGUGGAUAACCGCUGAAAGCAUCUAAGUGGGAAGCCCACCUCAAGAUAAGUAUUCUC